Molecule: ribosomal RNA, 254 nt
Filed under: uncultured bacterium
Lineage: Bacteria
Description: partial 16S ribosomal RNA
Rfam family: Bacterial small subunit ribosomal RNA
Source: RNAcentral
UCCGGGGGGAGCAAGCGUUGUUCGGAUUUACUGGGCGUAAAGGGCGCGUAGGCGGCCUCUGCAAGUCGACUGUGAAAUCUCCGGGCUUAACCCGGAAAGGUCAGCCGAUACUGCGGGGCUAGAGUGCAGAAGGGGCAACUGGAAUUCUCGGUGUAGCGGUGAAAUGCGUAGAUAUCGAGAGGAACACCUGCGGCGAAGGCGGGUUGCUGGGCUGACACUGACGCUGAGGCGCGAAAGCUAGGGGAGCGAACGGG